UGGAGCAUAUUAUAAAUUAUUAUAUUUUAGUUACAUUAAAAUGAUGCAUGUGUUUGCUGUUCUGA
RNAcentral lists this transfer RNA (65 nucleotides) under Viana regina. Its description in RNAcentral is "tRNA-Val". The record is from RNAcentral. Lineage: Eukaryota; Metazoa; Mollusca; Gastropoda; Cycloneritida; Helicinidae.